AGUCGAACGGUAGCACAGGGGAGCUUGCUCCCCGGGUGACGAGUGGCGGACGGGUGAGUAAUGUCUGGGGAUCUGCCCGAUGGAGGGGGAUAACUACUGGAAACGGUAGCUAAUACCGCAUAACCUCGAAAGAGCAAAGUGGGGGACCUUCGGGCCUCACACCAUCGGAUGAACCCAGAUGGGAUUAGCUAGUAGGUGGGGUAACGGCUCACCUAGGCGACGAUCCCUAGCUGGUCUGAGAGGAUGACCAGCCACACUGGAACUGAGACACGGUCCAGACUCCUACGGGAGGCAGCAGUGGGGAAUAUUGCACAAUGGGCGCAAGCCUGAUGCAGCCAUGCCGCGUGUAUGAAGAAGGCCUUCGGGUUGUAAAGUACUUUCAGCGGGGAGGAAGGGAUGAAGGUUAAUAACCUUCGUCAUUGACGUUACCCGCAGAAGAAGCACCGGCUAACUCCGUGCCAGCAGCCGCGGUAAUACGGAGGGUGCAAGCGUUAAUCGGAAUUACUGGGCGUAAAGCGCACGCAGGCGGUUUGUUAAGUCAGAUGUGAAAUCCCCGGGCUCAACCUGGGAACUGCAUUUGAAACUGGCAAGCUUGAGUCUCGUAGAGGGGGGUAGAAUUCCAGGUGUAGCGGUGAAAUGCGUAAGAUCUGGAGGAAUACCGGUGGCGAAGCGGCCCCCUGGACAAGACUGACGCUCAGGUG
This 701-nucleotide ribosomal RNA is filed under the name uncultured bacterium. RNAcentral describes it as "bacterial SSU rRNA". It matches the Rfam family "Bacterial small subunit ribosomal RNA", at positions 60 to 753 of the family's 1533-position model. The record is from RNAcentral.